GUAGGUGGCAAGCGUUGUCCGGAAUUAUUGGGCGUAAAGCGCGCGCAGGCGGUCCUUUAAGUCUGAUGUGAAAGCCCACGGCUCAACCGUGGAGGGUCAUUGGAAACUGGGGGACUUGAGUACAGAAGAGGAAAGCGGAAUUCCAAGUGUAGCGGUGAAAUGCGUAGAGAUUUGGAGGAACACCAGUGGCGAAGGCGGCUCUCUGGUCUGUAACUGACGCUGAGGCGCGAAAGCGUGGGGAGCAAACAGGGAUUAGAUACCCUGGUAGUCCACGCCGUAAACGAUGAGUGCUAAGUGUUAGGGGGUUUCCGCCCCCUUAGUGCUGCAGCUAACGCAUUAAGCACUCCGCCUGGGGAUACGGCCGCAAGGCUG
RNAcentral lists this ribosomal RNA (372 nucleotides) under uncultured organism. RNAcentral describes it as "partial 16S ribosomal RNA". It matches the Rfam family "Bacterial small subunit ribosomal RNA", at positions 527 to 896 of the family's 1533-position model. The record is from RNAcentral.